Molecule: ribosomal RNA, 1095 nt
Filed under: Escherichia albertii
Lineage: Bacteria; Pseudomonadati; Pseudomonadota; Gammaproteobacteria; Enterobacterales; Enterobacteriaceae
Description: partial 23S ribosomal RNA
Rfam family: Bacterial large subunit ribosomal RNA
Source: RNAcentral
GGUUAAGCGACUAAGCGUACACGGUGGAUGCCCUGGCAGUCAGAGGCGAUGAAGGACGUGCUAAUCUGCGAAAAGCGUCGGUAAGGUGAUAUGAACCGUUAUAACCGGCGAUGUCCGAAUGGGGAAACCCAGUGUGUUUCGACACACUAUCAUUAACUGAAUCCAUAGGUUAAUGAGGCGAACCGGGGGAACUGAAACAUCUAAGUACCCCGAGGAAAAGAAAUCAACCGAGAUUCCCCCAGUAGCGGCGAGCGAACGGGGAGGAGCCCAGAGCCUGAAUCAGUGUGUGUGUUAGUGGAAGCGUCUGGAAAGGCGCGCGAUACAGGGUGACAGCCCCGUACACAAAAAUGCACAUGCUGUGAGCUCGAUGAGUAGGGCGGGACACGUGGUAUCCUGUCUGAAUAUGGGGGGACCAUCCUCCAAGGCUAAAUACUCCUGACUGACCGAUAGUGAACCAGUACCGUGAGGGAAAGGCGAAAAGAACCCCGGCGAGGGGAGUGAAAAAGAACCUGAAACCGUGUACGUACAAGCAGUGGGAGCCCUGAUUUAUCAGGGUGACUGCGUACCUUUUGUAUAAUGGGUCAGCGACUUAUAUUCUGUAGCAAGGUUAACCGAAUAGGGGAGCCGGAGGGAAACCGAGUCUUAACUGGGCGUUAAGUUGCAGGGUAUAGACCCGAAACCCGGUGAUCUAGCCAUGGGCAGGUUGAAGGUUGGGUAACACUAACUGGAGGACCGAACCGACUAAUGUUGAAAAAUUAGCGGAUGACUUGUGGCUGGGGGUGAAAGGCCAAUCAAACCGGGAGAUAGCUGGUUCUCCCCGAAAGCUAUUUAGGUAGCGCCUCGUGAAUUCAUCUCCGGGGGUAGAGCACUGUUUCGGCAAGGGGGUCAUCCCGACUUACCAACCCGAUGCAAACUGCGAAUACCGGAGAAUGUUAUCACGGGAGACACACGGCGGGUGCUAACGUCCGUCGUGAAGAGGGAAACAACCCAGACCGCCAGCUAAGGUCCCAAAGUCAUGGUUAAGUGGGAAACGAUGUGGGAAGGCCCAGACAGCCAGGAUGUUGGCUUAGAAGCAGCCAUCAUUUAAAGAAAGCG